RNAcentral lists this long non-coding RNA (259 nucleotides) under Apteryx owenii (little spotted kiwi). RNAcentral's name for it is "lncRNA (ENSAOWG00000018046.1)". Lineage: Eukaryota; Metazoa; Chordata; Aves; Apterygiformes; Apterygidae. The record is from RNAcentral.
AGAGGACUCAUAAUCAAGGGCAAUAAACUAGAUCCAUAGCAGUUUAAUGGUUCAAAGGGAUGGGAGCUGUUUAUGUCAGUCCUGUCACUUCUUGAAAAUGGAUAAGGCUCCAAAAAAGAAGAGAAGAGCGGGUAUAGCGCUUCCUGGUUUCCAUGAGAUGGCAUUCAGUGCUGGGGGUUGGGUUUGGAGACACAGAAGCGGGACAGUUCAGCAUCACCCACGCGGCGCUCGCUGCAUGGAUGAACAAAGCAGCUGCUGA